This 253-nucleotide ribosomal RNA is filed under the name uncultured bacterium. Its description in RNAcentral is "partial 16S ribosomal RNA". It matches the Rfam family "Bacterial small subunit ribosomal RNA", at positions 524 to 776 of the family's 1533-position model. The record is from RNAcentral.
UACAGAGGUCUCAAGCGUUGUUCGGAUUCAUUGGGCGUAAAGGGUGCGUAGGCGGCGCGGUAAGUCGGGUGUGAAAUCUCGGAGCUUAACUCCGAAACUGCAUUCGAUACUGCCGUGCUUGAGGACUGGAGAGGAGACUGGAAUUUACGGUGUAGCGGUGAAAUGCGUAGAUAUCGUAAGGAAGACCAAUGGCGAAGGCAGCUCUCUGGGACGGUACUGACGCUGAGACGCGAAAGCGUGGGGAGCGAACAGG